Molecule: long non-coding RNA, 904 nt
Organism: Antechinus flavipes (yellow-footed antechinus)
Lineage: Eukaryota; Metazoa; Chordata; Mammalia; Dasyuromorphia; Dasyuridae
Exons: 3
Source: RefSeq, a predicted model, not a curated record
GCCAUUCCAUAAGCUGGUCUAUAUGCUGUUGAUAGAGAUCCAGAGUUCCAUCACAUUUCUGCAUCAGAGCUAGGGAAGAGUUGUGGAGAAGAGAGAGAGAAAAAUUUGGAACAAAAGUUUUGCAAGACCACUGGGCAAUGGCUGAAUAAACUGUGGAAUACGAAUGUGAAUGAUGAAUAUGAACUUAUAAGAAAUGAAGAGACAAUUUCAAAGAAUUCUGGGUAGCGUAUGAACUGACACAGAAUGAAGACAGCAAAACCAGAACAAUAUAUACAAAGACAGUGACAUCGUAAAGACAAACACCUUUAAAAAAAAAAAAAAAAAAAAAAAAAAAAAAAAAGACAAACACCUUUGAAAAACUCAAGAACUCUGAACAAAGCCAACCAUUUAUUCAGAGCAACCACAAUGAAGUAUGCCCCUUACCUCUUAUAAUGGACACAAGGAGCAGAAAGAUAAUUAUUUUGGUUCAUGGCCACCAUGCAAAUUUUGUUUCCCUUAAUAUGCUUAUUUGUUAUAAGAGAUUUAUUUAAUUCAUUUUUUCUUUUUCUUGAUUAACUGGAAAGUGGGAAGAAGGAAAGGCUAGAAAUAACAAUGCCUGAAAUGUUUUUCCUAUUUCAGUUAAGAAUAAAAAAGUGAAGAAAAAGAUAAAUCUACACAAAUUCAAAAUACUUUGUGGGACAGUAUCGUAUUAUGCAGCAUUUUCACUCAGAAUUUGGAACACAGAACUAGAGGAAAGAAAUUAUCAUUUUUGAAGGAUGUGGGCACAAACUUCUUCCCACUAAUAAAAAAAAAAAAGCCUUCAAACUAAACAACACAUACCAUUUAUUAAAAAUUCUUCACCUGAGUAACAUUAAACAACAGAUUCACCAAAUUGAUUUUUUUCCCUUUAUUCAGCUUUCACCUC